Long non-coding RNA from Monodelphis domestica (gray short-tailed opossum), 1132 nucleotides. RefSeq lists it as uncharacterized. Lineage: Eukaryota; Metazoa; Chordata; Mammalia; Didelphimorphia; Didelphidae. The record is from RefSeq and is a predicted model, not a curated record.
AGCUCACAGAGUGGGAUGAUGACACUGUGUGGGAGCUCUGAGUAUUCAUGUCAUCUGUAAAAUAAAGCAGUUGGACCGCAUGUCCUCAAAGGUUCCUCAGCGUUCUCUAGCUCUACGAGACAAGUUUUCUGAUGAAAGAAAACAAUUAACUAUAAAAAAGUUGAAUUCUCUUCCCCUGAUUUAGCCUAAAUCAUUCUACUGUUGCUUGGCGAAAGCACUGUGACAGAAUCACAAGCCAGAGAAUAAUGAACAAAUGUGUGUUACUGCAAAUAGAACUGAUAGGAAAUGAAAAAUUGAAUGCCUAAAUAACAUCUCACUUCAAUGAGACCUCUGCAGAUAUUUUGUCAUUGAUAAAAUAGUCAUUGAGAAGCUGUCAGAAUCCCAAGAUGUAUAUGGAAGGCACUUCAAAGACCCUACAAAAAUCAAUAAGAAGGACAAAUAAAACAACCCAGUGUCUAUAGCAUGCCAUUGGAAGCCUUUGACUGAAUUGACCAGCUAUAAUUCAAGAGGAAAACAACAAAAGUCUUCAAUUUGGAUUGAAUAUGGGCACUUUUCCCAUCUGUUGUCUGGUUUCCACGGUGACCAUUGUGGCAUCAUCUGCUGUUCUGGGGCCCAAGCUGUACGGCACCCACCCAGACUCAGUCACGACAAAACAAGUGGCAGAACACAGAGCUCUCCUGGCAGGCACACACAUUUUCUAAAAAUAAACAGACGAGGACUUUGGAGAUGCUGUAUCACUCAACCCUGCUGGUAUUCAUGACACACUCUUCACCUCAUCCAUCCACCGCAAGUCCCGCAAAGUCCUUAUUCACACGGGACCGUGCAGCCUUGUUGAAGCUUUCUGAGAAACUUGGAAAUGAGAAACAUCAAUAGCAAAGCAACAUUGAUCGAUUUUUUUCCUAAAGUGAUGCAGAUCAUUUGAGUAUGCAGCUUCUCUGGUCUAACUGCCUUCUUCUCAGUCAAGACAUGCUGACUGGUUCCCUUCUCCAAAUGCCAGAGAGAGUUGGAGUUUAUUGAAUUGUUGAUAACAGGAGAUUUAUGAUGUUUCCAUCUAGUUUCUGGAUUAACUAUUCAUUUAUUCAACAAGAUGAGAAUCCCACAAAAUUCGCAACAUUAAAUGGAUUAUAAAUGG